Molecule: ribosomal RNA, 548 nt
Filed under: uncultured bacterium
Lineage: Bacteria
Description: bacterial SSU rRNA
Rfam family: Bacterial small subunit ribosomal RNA
Source: RNAcentral
UGGGGAAUUUUGGACAAUGGGGGCAACCCUGAUCCAGCAAUGCCGCGUGUGUGAAGAAGGCCUUCGGGUUGUAAAGCACUUUUGUCCGGAAAGAAAUCGCCCUGGCUAAUAUCNUGGGUGGAUGACGGUACYGGAAGAAUAAGCACCGGCUAACUACGUGCCAGCAGCCGCGGUAAUACGUAGGGUGCGAGCGUUAAUCGGAAUUACUGGGCGUAAAGCGUGCGCAGGCGGUUGGGCAAGACAGAUGUGAAAUCCCCGGGCUUAACCUGGGAAUGGCAUUUGUGACUGCCCGGCUAGAGUGUGUCAGAGGGGGGUAGAAUUCCACGUGUAGCAGUGAAAUGCGUAGAGAUGUGGAGGAAUACCGAUGGCGAAGGCAGCCCCCUGGGAUAACACUGACGCUCAUGCACGAAAGCGUGGGGAGCAAACAGGAUUAGAUACCCUGGUAGUCCACGCCCUAAACGAUGUCAACUAGUUGUCGGGUCUUAAUUGACUUGGUAACGCAGCUAACGCGUGAAGUUGACCGCCUGGGGAGUACGGUCGCAAGAUUA